This 908-nucleotide ribosomal RNA is filed under the name Tulasnella sp. Its description in RNAcentral is "SSU rRNA". It matches the Rfam family "Eukaryotic small subunit ribosomal RNA", at positions 691 to 1606 of the family's 1831-position model. The record is from RNAcentral. Lineage: Eukaryota; Fungi; Basidiomycota; Agaricomycetes; Cantharellales; Tulasnellaceae.
CCCUUCGGGGUGGACUGCCGGCCGGCGCCCUAAUGGCCGUGGGCUUCGGCUCCGGUCACGAAUACCUCGAACAAAUGAGAGCGCAUGAGGCAGGCACAUGUUGCCGGAAUCUAUUAGCAUGGAAUAACACAUGGACCGCAGCGUCUUGUUGUUGGUUAAAGACGAUGCAGUAAUGAUUAACAGGGGUACUCGGGGCCAACCGUACUCUGGGGCUAGGGGUGAAAUCCUGUGACCCUCAGAAGACGACCUAAUGCGAAAGCAGUUGGCUAGGGUACUUUCAUUGAUCAAGCACGAAGGGUGGGGGAGCAAAGACGAUUAGACACCGUUGUAGUCCCACCAGUAAACGAUGUCGACGCGAUCACGGGUGUCUGUGUUAGCAGCGCUCGGGAGCGUAUAGAAAUUAGAGUCUUUGGACUCUGGGGGGAGUAUGGUCGCAAGUCUGAAACUUAAAGGAAUUGACGGAAGGGCACAACCAGGCGUGGAGCCUGCGGCUUAAUUUGACUCAACACGGGGAAGCUCACCAGGGCAGGACAUGAUUAGGAUUGACAGACAUGACAGAUCUUUCAUGAUCUCAUGGGUGGUGGUGCAUGGCCGUUCUUAGUUCGUGGGGUGACUUGUCUGGUUGAUUCCGAUAACGAGCGAGACCGAGACCCAAGGUUGGCGCCGUUUCCCUCAUGUUCUUUGGGGCUUCGAGGGCGGCGCUCUUCUUGCGCCUUGGGGACCGGCGCCCGGUUAAGGGCGUGGAGGUGCUUGGCAAUAACAGGUCUGUGAUGCCCUUAGAUGUCCUGGGCCGCACGCGCGCUACACUGAUGCAGACAAUGGGCAUUCACCUAUUCCGAGAGGGCUGGGUAAUCCUGUGAGGCUGCAUCGUGCUGGGGAUCGAGCACUGGAACUGUGCUCGUGAACAU